CGCGUAGGCGGUGCGGUAAGUCUCUGGUGAAAUCUCCAGGCUCAACCUGGAGCGGUCCAGGGAAACUGCCGUGCUGGAGUGUGGGAGAGGAGCGUGGAAUUCCCGGUGUAGCGGUGAAAUGCGUAGGUAUCGGGAGGAACACCUGUGGCGAAAGCGGCUCACUGGACCAUUACUGACGCUGAUGCACGAAAGCUAGGGGAGCAAACAGGAUUAGAUACCCUGGUAGUCCUAGCCCUAAACGAUGAUCGCUUGGUGUGACAGGUACCCAAUCCUGUCGUGCCGGAGCUAACGCGUUAAGCGAUCCGCCUAGGGAGUACGGUCGCAAGGCUGAA
This 332-nucleotide ribosomal RNA is filed under the name uncultured bacterium. Its description in RNAcentral is "bacterial SSU rRNA". It matches the Rfam family "Bacterial small subunit ribosomal RNA", at positions 568 to 898 of the family's 1533-position model. The record is from RNAcentral.